GAUGAAGAACGUAGCGAAAUGCGAUAAGUAAUGUGAAUUGCAGAAUUCAGUGAAUCAUCGAAUCUUUGAACGCACAUUGCGCCCGCCAGCAUUCUGGCGGGCAUGCCUGUUCGAGCGUCAUUUCAACCCUCAAGCUCUGCUUGGUGUUGGGGCCCUACGGUUGACGUAGGCCCUUAAAGGUAGUGGCGGACCCUCUCGGAGCCUCCUUUGCGUAGUAACUAACGUCUCGCAUUGGGAUUCGGAGGGACUCUUGCCGUAAAACCCCCAAAUUUUCUAAUGGUUGACCUCGGAUCAGGUAGGAAUACCCACUGAACUUAAGCAUAUCAAUAAGCGGAGGA
RNAcentral lists this unclassified non-coding RNA (338 nucleotides) under soil metagenome. RNAcentral describes it as "partial contains 5.8S ribosomal RNA, internal transcribed spacer 2, and large subunit ribosomal RNA". The stretch from base 1 to 120 matches the Rfam family "5.8S ribosomal RNA", at positions 35 to 154 of the family's 154-position model. The record is from RNAcentral.